UUAAUUGAAGAGUUUGAUCAUGGCUCAGAUUGAACGCUGGCGGCAGGCCUAACACAUGCAAGUCGAGCGGCAGCACAGAGAAACUUGUUUCUCGGGUGGCGAGCGGCGGACGGGUGAGUAAUGCCUGGGAAAUUGCCCUGAUGUGGGGGAUAACCAUUGGAAACGAUGGCUAAUACCGCAUGAUGCCCUUGUUUAUAAUGAACAGGGGCCAAAGAGGGGGACCUUCGGGCCUCUCGCGUCAGGAUAUGCCCAGGUGGGAUUAGCUAGUUGGUGAGGUAAGGGCUCACCAAGGCGACGAUCCCUAGCUGGUCUGAGAGGAUGAUCAGCCACACUGGA
RNAcentral lists this ribosomal RNA (336 nucleotides) under Vibrio navarrensis. RNAcentral describes it as "bacterial SSU rRNA". It matches the Rfam family "Bacterial small subunit ribosomal RNA", at positions 1 to 317 of the family's 1533-position model. Lineage: Bacteria; Pseudomonadati; Pseudomonadota; Gammaproteobacteria; Vibrionales; Vibrionaceae. The record is from RNAcentral.